RNAcentral lists this ribosomal RNA (252 nucleotides) under uncultured bacterium. RNAcentral describes it as "partial 16S ribosomal RNA". It matches the Rfam family "Bacterial small subunit ribosomal RNA", at positions 524 to 776 of the family's 1533-position model. The record is from RNAcentral.
UACGUAGGGUGCAAGCGUUAAUCGGAAUUACUGGGCGUAAAGCGUGCGCAGGCGGUUAUGUAAGACAGGUGUGAAAUCCCCGGGCUUAACCUGGGAACUGCAUUUGUGACUGCAUAGCUAGAGUACGGUAGGGGGGGAUGGAAUUCCGCGUGUAGCAGUGAAAUGCGUAGAUAUGCGGAGGAACACCGAUGGCGAAGGCAAUCCCCUGGACCUGUACUGACGCUCAUGCACGAAAGCGUGGGAGCAAACAGG